CAUUUUCGAGCGGUUAUGGACACCAUGUCGACCGUGCGACGAAAAGUGCUACAAAACUGCUGGAAUCUGACCUCGUCUUGCCCCCCGCAGCCAUCAAUGUCUAUAGUUUCAGCUAUAAUUCUACAAGAUAACUUGAACAGAGGGAAAUGGCAUCACGGCACCUUUGCUUUUUCUCUUUCUCGCUAAACUGUCAUUCAAGAUACGAAAGCGAGUGCUACAUGUAAAAACAAAACAUUGAAACAGUGUUUGAGUGGUAACAACAGCACAAACUGUUGCGGCACAAAUUUCAUGCACCAAAUCCAUUCUGGAGGACAUGCAGCUGAAACACCAGCGAUUGAAUAAUUUAUUAGGGGGGAUGUCAAUAAGAUGAAACGAUUAGUAACGAUAUAUUACGACUAAGCUGAGGAGGAUGAACAGAAUGCUGUUGCUACUGCUCUUUCUCCCGCAUUAUAACGUAUGGAAAUCUCGGCUAGAGUAUGUGAUAAAAACAUCAACCAUCAUCCCUCUUCCAUUGCUAAGCAAUUCAUCGCUGUACUCAUUCAAUUGCAUUGCCGAUCGUCAAAGCUGCGAAAGUUUCAGCACGGAUAGUGUGGUACUUGUUAGAUCCAUAUCUUCCGUAUCCAACAUCGGUGAAUGUAUUGCUGAAAAAGCCAAACCAACAAGCUCAUCUCACCACAAUCGUCAGCAGAUGGCUCUAUCCCCGAAGUUAGCUGCUGCUGUUGUCGCUUAAAGCACGAAUGCAACGAAGAUAUCUGGGUAGAGUGCGAAGACAUUUUAUUUCACCGGUGCACAGGAGGGUAGCAACAUUUUGAACUACAUAUUGGAGAUAAGAAAAGUGGUACAUAAGAGUGCGAGAAGCGCAAUUUUCACAUAUUCUAUCAGCUACUGGCCGUGGCGGGGACCAAUCGCUGCAGAAGCUGUAUCUCAAGCGGAUAUUACGACGAAUAUUUUUGGUACUUGGUUGAUAUCUUUGGUGACGAAGCAAACGUUACGAAUGUCAUAGAAUGUAAAGAUAUAGAAUAUUUUGUAUUUAUCUGUUCUUUGUUAAUGAGUAGAAUAAA
Molecule: long non-coding RNA, 1061 nt
Organism: Toxorhynchites rutilus septentrionalis
Lineage: Eukaryota; Metazoa; Arthropoda; Insecta; Diptera; Culicidae
Exons: 3
Source: RefSeq, a predicted model, not a curated record